UUUAUGUUGAGUCCAUUUUAGAAAGUAUCAAUUUGGCUCGUUACUUCUGCAUCCAGCCAAUAUGUAGUUAUGCUAUGGUCAUUUUUUAUAUUUUUGUCUAUCAUUUUUGCUUAUAUGCUUUGUCUAUAUGCCAUUUUGUUUCUCGUUUUGAAAUAUUUUUUUUCUUUUUAUACUGGUUGAGAUAUAACACAAUAUAAAUAAAUUUGGUGUAUUUACUGUCUUCUGAUUGGUUAAUAGUAUUAGUUUUAUUUUCAAUGUUGUCAAUUUUUAUGGCGACAUGCUCACUCUGACGUUGUGUAUUCAUACGCCAACAUGUGUGUACGUGUGUACGUUGUUAUUGUUAAUAUAAAUAAUAUAAAAAGUUCUUUGAGCCUUAUUUUUGAUAGAAAUUUAUUUAGAAUGAAUGGCAAUAAUUUAUUUUGAAUUUAUUGACCCAUAAAAUUAAUUUUUGAC
Molecule: long non-coding RNA, 453 nt
Filed under: Mytilus galloprovincialis (Mediterranean mussel)
Lineage: Eukaryota; Metazoa; Mollusca; Bivalvia; Mytilida; Mytilidae
Source: RNAcentral